UACGUAGGCGGCCAUAUAAGUCAGAAGUGAAAGGCUACGGCUUAACCGUAGUAAGCUUUUGAAACUGUAUGGCUUGAGUGCAGGAGAGGAAAGCGGAAUUCCUAGUGUAGCGGUGAAAUGCGUAGAUAUUAGGAAGAACACCAGUAGCGAAGGCGGCUUUCUGGACUGAAACUGAUGCUGAGGUACGAAAGCGUGGGGAGCGAACAGGAUUAGAUACCCUGGUAGUCC
RNAcentral lists this ribosomal RNA (228 nucleotides) under uncultured bacterium. RNAcentral describes it as "partial 16S ribosomal RNA". It matches the Rfam family "Bacterial small subunit ribosomal RNA", at positions 568 to 796 of the family's 1533-position model. The record is from RNAcentral.